Molecule: ribosomal RNA, 435 nt
Filed under: uncultured bacterium
Lineage: Bacteria
Description: bacterial SSU rRNA
Rfam family: Bacterial small subunit ribosomal RNA
Source: RNAcentral
GGAGGAAUAUUGGUCAAUGGGCGAGAGCCUGAACCAGCCAAGUCGCGUGAGGGAAGACGGUCCUAUGGAUUGUAAACCUCUUUUGUCAGGGAACAAAAGCGAGUAUGUAUACUAGUCUGAGUGUACCUGAAGAAAAAGCAUCGGCUAACUCCGUGCCAGCAGCCGCGGUAAUACGGAGGAUGCGAGCGUUAUCCGGAUUUAUUGGGUUUAAAGGGUGCGUAGGCGGCAUGGUAAGUCAGCGGUCAAAUCGAGGGGCUCAACCCCUUUCCGCCGUUGAAACUGCCGUGCUUGAGUGGGCGAGAGGUACGCGGAAUGCGCAGUGUAGCGGUGAAAUGCUUAGAUAUUGCGCAGAACUCCGAUUGCGAAGGCAGCGUACUGGCGCCUGACUGACGCUGAGGCACGAAAGCGUGGGGGAUACGAAGCAUGAUAGAUACC